AGCAACUAAGCGGAGUGGAGAAGAACUUUGAUAAGGUUAUGCUAUGUGCUCCAUCAACUGAGCAGCGUUGGGGUUCGGGUGUUCUUAAAAUGACUGAAACAAAAGCUGAAAGAAAUAUACAAAAGAAUGUAAAAGUCCAAAAGGAAAUGCUAUUGGCAGCUAUAGACAUGCUCAA
This is a long non-coding RNA of Salvia miltiorrhiza (redroot sage), 175 nucleotides long. RefSeq lists it as uncharacterized. The transcript is spliced from 3 exons. NCBI's taxonomy places the organism in Eukaryota, Viridiplantae, Streptophyta, Magnoliopsida, Lamiales, Lamiaceae. The record is from RefSeq and is a predicted model, not a curated record.